RNAcentral lists this ribosomal RNA (468 nucleotides) under uncultured bacterium. RNAcentral describes it as "partial 16S ribosomal RNA". It matches the Rfam family "Bacterial small subunit ribosomal RNA", at positions 28 to 507 of the family's 1533-position model. The record is from RNAcentral.
GACGAACGCUGGCGGCGUGCUUAACACAUGCAAGUCGAACGGAAAGGCCCUGCUUUUGUGGGGUGCUCGAGUGGCGAACGGGUGAGUAACACGUGAGUAACCUGCCCUUGACUUUGGGAUAACUUCAGGAAACUGGGGCUAAUACCGGAUAGGAGCUCCUGCUGCAUGGUGGGGGUUGGAAAGUUUCUGCGGUUGUGGAUGGACUGGCGGCUUAUCAGCUUGUUGGUGGGGUAGUGGCUUACCAAGGGUUUGACGGGUAGCCGGCCUGAGAGGGUGACCGGCGACAAUGGGACUGCGAUACGGCCCAGACUCCAACGGGGGGCAGCAGUGGGAAAUAUGGCACAAUGGGCGGAAGCCUGAUGCAGCAACGCCGCGUGCGGGAUGACGGCCUGCGGGUUGUAAACCGCUUUCGCCUGUGACGAAGCGUGAGUGACGGUAAUGGGUAAAGAAGCACCGGCUAACUACGUG